This is a long non-coding RNA of Strigops habroptila (Kakapo), 2348 nucleotides long. The record is from Ensembl. NCBI's taxonomy places the organism in Eukaryota, Metazoa, Chordata, Aves, Psittaciformes, Psittacidae.
GGGGCCGCGGAGUGGGCAGCUCCGCUUCGCUAUCGCGCCGGCUCGGUCCCAGCCGCCGCGCUGCGUGCGCGCUUUCGGGCAAGAGCCCUGUCCCGGCGUGCGGUGCCCGGGAGCUGCCCCCGCCCGAGCGGACGGUGCGGGCACCCGGGGCCGCGGGGGAGCUCCCUCCGCCGGGGAGCACCGGGCGCGGGGACCCUGCAGGGACCCGGCAGCGCGGCUCUGCCUCCGGGGCUGCUGGCAGCACGGGGUCCGCUGUGCCAGGCGCGGGUACCUGCUGCGGACUGGUCCUUGCCUUCCCCCGUGCCGGCUGCCGGCCACUCGCUCCGCUCCGCGCCGCCGUCACUUACCGAUGAUUUUUUCACGGGGACGGGGCAUCAAUUCCUCCCCUUUCCCCUGCCAAGAGGUGCGAAAGCCCUGCAAGUUUGCAAGCGCUCGCCCCCCCGCACUUGGACUGGUGGCCCGUACUAAUUAAUUUAAUACAUUUAGAACUAAUUGUAUUUACUUUAGCCUCCCCUCCCGCACUCUCCCCCCCCGUCCUCCGGGAGGGGGAUGGGGCCGGGGCCGGGCCCGGGGGGGCCGUGGAAGCGGCGAGCGGGCUGGACGCGGAGCGGCAGAUCGGCUCGGUUUAAACCUCGACAGCGCCAUCUCUCGUCGAAAGGUCAGUGCCGAGGCGGUCCCCGGCCGGUGCGGGGCCGCGGUGUGGCCGGACCGGGUCCCGCCGUCGGGGGCUGGACCCGCCGCAGCCGCCGCGGUCCGUGCCCGGCACCGGUACCGGCGCGGGUCGGCCCAGCCCGGCCCGGCCGCACCGCGGUGCUCCGCUGCAGGCCGGGGAACGCCGCAGCCUCCGGGGCUGCCAGGCUCGAUUUUCCUGCUGGGCUUUAUGGGAAUAUCGAUAGAAUUAAAGUUACUUGUAAUUCCGUGAUAAAUGAGAUGUCUCUAGUAAGUAAGAUUAAGUGCAGUGCUAUAAAGUUGUUUAUCUGAAAAGUAAUUCUCAGAAACCUGACUUCUGACACUUGGUCAUAUAUUAAACCAGCUUCUUGAACAUUGUACUUCAAAUCCUCCCUGCUCCCCUUGCCCGCUCCCUUCCCCCUCGGAGUUUACUAUUUAUAACAGCACAUAGGGUAUUACUUUGUAGGUGCGGGCAAGUCUCUGGGUAAUUUUUCGCCGACUGUGAAAAUCAUCAUUUGCAAAAGCCAAAGAAUCUCUGCUUAGAAAAUAGUACUUGGCUAGUGGAUUUACGAAGGGAUAACAUCUUCUGACUAUGCCAUUAUCAGUACGAGUGCCAGUACUAACAUCUGAAAGUCAUACAGCAUGUACUGUUCCUGGCAGCUAAGAAAGGUAGGGCAUACUGCAAAUUUAGGAAGAUAACUACAUCUAGAAAUGAUCAUAGAGGCAAUUCUGUAAAGCUAAAAAAUGCUACCAGCAUCGCUGACAAAAUUAAAAUGGAGUUCUGCACAGUCCCAAAACACACGCACAUACACAGAGCCGUGGACAUCUGCUAGCUUUAUCUUACAGAUUGCGAUUCACGACAAAGUUAAUACAACUUAACUACUCGGGCUGGCUUUCCUAUUUCUUCACGUUGUUGGAAUCAACAAAACUUCCAGGCUCACAGCAUAAAUCCCCCCAGGACAGUCUAAUACCCUGUAUUUGUUUUUUUCCCCAAGCAAGAUGAAUGUGAUACUGUAUAUCACUUAACAUGCGCACCUAUGAGAGACAUAAAAUGUGUGCUAAUAUUUUUAAAUGAAAAGGUUAUUGCUUUUCAGAACGUGCAGUCGUAGUAUUUCACUUGCCUGUUUGAUAGAUGGCUGUGCAAGUGUGGCUCCAGCCCCAUAAAAUAGUUUGUUUGGACGUGAGGAUUCAAAGUGCUACAUUUGCAAAUGAGUAAAUUUCCUGAGUAAACUCUGAACUCUAGACAGAGUAUGAAAUUGUGUGAGCUAAUGGGGACUGUCCCUUAAUUUAUACCAAUGUAAGCUGCAAAUUAAUUGAAGCUCUGACCUACCAGAACAGCGAGUAAAAUUAUUAGUUGUACAGUAUUGUUCUCGUGUGAUUGUUACACAGAACUGCUGCACUAAAAUGUCUCUACUGUUCAGUGUAGCAGAGAAAAAAAGAUUGUUGGCAAUUUUUGGAUAACCUUCAGAAGCAACAUUCUCCUCCCUACACUAUAUAAUUCUCAUUUUAGUAGUAUUUUUCUUUAUUAUUUGGCUAUUCACAAUGGGUGUCUAAACAUUUACAGUCCUCUAUUAACAGUGUUUCUUCCAUAACAAUCACACACUUUCAUUUCAAUUAGAGCUAUUCAGUCUCCAGUUUUUCCACAAUUAUCGCAGGCCAAUUCCCCCAGACUGCUCCCU